This 487-nucleotide ribosomal RNA is filed under the name uncultured bacterium. Its description in RNAcentral is "partial 16S ribosomal RNA". It matches the Rfam family "Bacterial small subunit ribosomal RNA", at positions 28 to 523 of the family's 1533-position model. The record is from RNAcentral.
GAUGAACGCUGGCGGCGUGCUUAACACAUGCAAGUCGAACGGGAUCCAUCAGGCUUUGCUUGGUGGUGAGAGUGGCGAACGGGUGAGUAAUGCGUGACCGACCUGCCCCAUACACCGGAAUAGCUCCUGGAAACGGGUGGUAAUGCCGGAUGCUCCGACUCCUCGCAUGGGGUGUCGGGAAAGAUUUCAUCGGUAUGGGAUGGGGUCGCGUCCUAUCAGGUAGUCGGCGGGGUAACGGCCCACCGAGCCUACGACGGGUAGCCGGCCUGAGAGGGCGACCGGCCACAUUGGGACUGAGAUACGGCCCAGACUCCUACGGGAGGCAGCAGUGGGGAAUAUUGCACAAUGGGCGCAAGCCUGAUGCAGCGACGCCGCGUGCGGGAUGACGGCCUUCGGGUUGUAAACCGCUUUUGAUCGGGAGCAAGCCUUCGGGUGAGUGUACCUUUCGAAUAAGCACCGGCUAACUACGUGCCAGCAGCCGCCGCGG